GAAAUGCGAUAAGUAAUGUGAAUUGCAGAAUUCAGUGAAUCAUCGAAUCUUUGAACGCACAUCGCGCCCGCCAGUAUUCUGGCGGGCAUGCCUGUUCGAGCGUCAUUUCAACCAUCAAGCCCCCGGCUUGUGUUGGGGACCUGCGGCUGCCCGCAGGCCCUGAAAAACAGUGGCGGGCUCGCUGUCACACCGAGCGUAGUAGCAUACAUUCUCGCUCAGGGCGUGCUGCGGGUUCCGGCCGUUAAACGACCUUCAUAACCCAAGGUUGACCUCGGAUCAGGUAGGAAGACCCGCUGAACUUAAGC
This 305-nucleotide unclassified non-coding RNA is filed under the name plant metagenome. RNAcentral's name for it is "partial contains 5.8S ribosomal RNA, internal transcribed spacer 2, and large subunit ribosomal RNA". The stretch from base 1 to 105 matches the Rfam family "5.8S ribosomal RNA", at positions 50 to 154 of the family's 154-position model. The record is from RNAcentral.